GUGAGGAAUUUUCCGCAAUGGGCGAAAGCCUGACGGAGCAAUGCCGCGUGAAGGAUGAAGGCCUAUGGGUUGUAAACUUCUUUUCUCAGAAAAGAAUUAUGACGGUAUCUGAGGAAUAAGCAUCGGCUAACUCUGUGCCAGCAGCCGCGGUAAGACAGAGGAUGCAAGCGUUAUCCGGAAUGAUUGGGCGUAAAGCGUCUGUAGGUUGUUUAAAAAGUAUUCUGUCAAAGAUUAGGGCUUAACCCUAGAUAGGCAGAAUAAACUUUUAAGCUAGAGUUUGGUAGAGGCAGAGGGAAUUCGCGGUGGAGCGGUGAAAUGCGUAGAUAUCGGGAGGAACACCAAAGGCGAAGGCACUCUGCUGGGCCAAUACUAACACUGAGAGACGAAAGCGAGGGGAGCAAAUGGGAUUAGAAACCCGGGUAGUCC
RNAcentral lists this ribosomal RNA (426 nucleotides) under uncultured bacterium. RNAcentral describes it as "partial 16S ribosomal RNA". It matches the Rfam family "Bacterial small subunit ribosomal RNA", at positions 354 to 796 of the family's 1533-position model. The record is from RNAcentral.